Molecule: transfer RNA, 70 nt
Filed under: Acinetobacter nosocomialis
Lineage: Bacteria; Pseudomonadati; Pseudomonadota; Gammaproteobacteria; Moraxellales; Moraxellaceae
Description: tRNA-Gly
Rfam family: tRNA
About the family: Transfer RNA (tRNA) molecules are approximately 80 nucleotides in length. Their secondary structure includes four short double-helical elements and three loops (D, anti-codon, and T loops). Further hydrogen bonds mediate the characteristic L-shaped molecular structure. tRNAs have two regions of fundamental functional importance: the anti-codon, which is responsible for specific mRNA codon recognition, and the 3' end, to which the tRNAs corresponding amino acid is attached (by aminoacyl-tRNA synthetases). tRNAs cope with the degeneracy of the genetic code in two manners: having more than one tRNA (with a specific anti-codon) for a particular amino acid; and 'wobble' base-pairing, i.e. permitting non-standard base-pairing at the 3rd anti-codon position.
Source: RNAcentral
CGGGAAUAGCUCAGUUGGUAGAGCAUAACCUUGCCAAGGUUGGGGUCGCGAGUUCGAGUCUCGUUUCCCG